RNAcentral lists this ribosomal RNA (491 nucleotides) under uncultured bacterium. RNAcentral's name for it is "partial 16S ribosomal RNA". It matches the Rfam family "Bacterial small subunit ribosomal RNA", at positions 28 to 507 of the family's 1533-position model. The record is from RNAcentral.
GAUGAACGCUGGCUACAGGCUUAACACAUGCAAGUCGAGGGGAAACGCCGGGGAAGCUUGCUUCCCCGGGCGUCGACCGGCGCACGGGUGAGUAACGCGUAUCCAACCUGCCUCUGACUGAGGGAUAACCCGUCGAAAGUCGGCCUAAUACCUCAUGGCAUCGUCUGCGGGCAUCCAACGACGAUUAAAGAUUUCAUCGGUCAGGGAUGGGGAUGCGUCUGAUUAGCUUGUUGGCGGGGUAACGGCCCACCAAGGCUACGAUCAGUAGGGGUUCUGAGAGGAAGGUCCCCCACAUUGGAACUGAGACACGGACCAAACUCGUACGGGAGGCAGCAGUGAGGAAUACUGGUCAAUGGGCGGGAGCCUGAACCAGCCAAGUAGCGUGCAGGAUGACGGCCCUAUGGGUUGUAAACUGCUUUUAUGCGGGGAUAAAGUGAGGGACGUGUCCUUCAUUGAAGGUACCGCAUGAAUAAGGACCGGCUAAUUCCGUG